GAGCCAGUGGCCCUGUGGCGAGAGGAUCUGCCCUGACCCCGGAAGGUUGUGGGUUCAAACCCCAUCUGCGUCA
Molecule: non-coding RNA, 73 nt
Organism: Megalops atlanticus (tarpon)
Lineage: Eukaryota; Metazoa; Chordata; Actinopteri; Elopiformes; Megalopidae
Source: the annotation of a GenBank genome assembly